Molecule: transfer RNA, 82 nt
Filed under: Acidimicrobiaceae bacterium
Lineage: Bacteria; Bacillati; Actinomycetota; Acidimicrobiia; Acidimicrobiales; Acidimicrobiaceae
Description: tRNA-Asp
Source: RNAcentral
UCGUUGGUACCGGUGCCUACUGGUGGCGGAGCCGGCCGGUCAACCCGGUGGCCGCCGGUAUUGCCGAUUCCGGUUCAACGGG